Long non-coding RNA from Rosa chinensis, 393 nucleotides. RefSeq lists it as uncharacterized. The transcript is spliced from 2 exons. The record is from RefSeq and is a predicted model, not a curated record. NCBI's taxonomy places the organism in Eukaryota, Viridiplantae, Streptophyta, Magnoliopsida, Rosales, Rosaceae.
UUUUUGGUUUCGUUAUGGUUUUCACCGGCUCCAGCGACUCACCGGUGGUGUGUUCGGACUGCGACAGUGGCUUCAUCGUGGAGAUCGGCAACCCGUCCUGCUCCGUCCAUGUGGAUUCGUGCCGCAAGGGGAGUUCCGCUGCUGCGAUGUACAUGAUCGGAGCCAACAACCGCUCCGGUUUCAAUCAUGAUCUCUGAUGAGAGCUUGGAACUGAUUGCCAAGUAUUUCAAGAAUUUCAAUCUCCUUGUGCUUUCGUCCUGUGAGGGAUUCGGUACCGAUGGCCUUGCCUUCAUUGCGGCUAAUUGCAGCUUCCGAGUGUUGAGAUUAAUCCGCAAUUCAUAACAUUUACGCAUGUUACUAUGGAGUCCAAUAAGUACACAUGUGUUCGAGAAA